This 315-nucleotide ribosomal RNA is filed under the name uncultured bacterium. RNAcentral describes it as "bacterial SSU rRNA". It matches the Rfam family "Bacterial small subunit ribosomal RNA", at positions 335 to 664 of the family's 1533-position model. The record is from RNAcentral.
ACUCCUACAGGAGGCAGCAGUGGGGAAUAUUGCACAAUGGGCGCAAGCCUGAUGCAGCAACGCCGUGUGAGUGAAGUAAGGUUUCGGAUACGUAAACUCUGUCCGUAAGGAAGAAACAAUGACGGUACCUUAGGAGGAACGCCCCGGCUAACUACGUGCCAGCAGCCGCGGUAAUACGGUAGGGGCAAGCGUUAUCCGGAAUCACUGGGACGUAAAGGGUGCGUAGGCGGCUUAGCAAGCCAGGGGUGAAAGGCAUUGGCUCAACCAAUGUAAGCCUUUGGAACUGUUAAGCUUGAGUGCAGGAGAGGUAAGUGG